CCUACGGGGGGCUGCAGUAACGAAUCUUCGGCAAUGCGCGCAAGCGUGACCGAGCGACGCCGCGUGGAGGAUGAAGUCCUUCGGGAUGUAAACUCCUGUCAGGGGUUACCAAGUUCUGAGGAGCCCCAGAGGAAGUGGCGGCUAACUCUGUGCCAGCAGCCGCGGUAAGACAGAGGCCACAAGCGUUAGGCGGAAUCACUGGGCUUAAAGCGUGUGUAGGCGGAUCGUUAAGUGCUUUGUGAAAUCCCUCGGCUCAACCGGGGAACUGCUUGGCAUACUGGCGAUCUUGAGCCAUCUAGGGGCGACUGGAACAGACGGUGGAGCGGUGAAAUGCGUAGAUAUCGUCUGGAACGCCAAAGGUGAAAACAGGUCGCUGGGGAUGAGCUGACGCUGAGACACGAAAGCCAGGGGAGCAAACGGGCUUAGAUACCCCGGUAGUC
This 440-nucleotide ribosomal RNA is filed under the name uncultured Phycisphaerae bacterium. RNAcentral's name for it is "bacterial SSU rRNA". It matches the Rfam family "Bacterial small subunit ribosomal RNA", at positions 338 to 795 of the family's 1533-position model. Lineage: Bacteria; Pseudomonadati; Planctomycetota; Phycisphaerae. The record is from RNAcentral.